This 253-nucleotide ribosomal RNA is filed under the name uncultured bacterium. Its description in RNAcentral is "partial 16S ribosomal RNA". It matches the Rfam family "Bacterial small subunit ribosomal RNA", at positions 524 to 776 of the family's 1533-position model. The record is from RNAcentral.
UACGAAGGGGGCUAGCGUUGCUCGGAAUCACUGGGCGUAAAGGGUGCGUAGGCGGGUCUUUAAGUCAGGGGUGAAAUCCUGGAGCUCAACUCCAGAACUGCCUUUGAUACUGAAGAUCUUGAGUCCGGGAGAGGUGAGUGGAACUGCGAGUGUAGAGGUGAAAUUCGUAGAUAUUGGGAAGAACACCGGUGGCGAAGGCGGCUCUCUGGACCGAACCUGACGCUGAGGCGCGAAAGCGUGGGGAGCAAACAGG